UAGGGAAUCUUCCACAAUGGGCGAAAGCCUGAUGGAGCAACGCCGCGUGUGUGAUGAAGGCUUUCGGGUCGUAAAGCACUGUUGUAUGGGAAGAACAGCUAGAAUAGGAAAUGAUUUUAGUUUGACGGUAUCUUACCAGAAAGGAACGGCUAAAUACGUGCCAC
RNAcentral lists this ribosomal RNA (164 nucleotides) under uncultured bacterium. Its description in RNAcentral is "partial 16S rRNA". It matches the Rfam family "Bacterial small subunit ribosomal RNA", at positions 355 to 511 of the family's 1533-position model. The record is from RNAcentral.